Oryza sativa Japonica Group (Japanese rice) is the source of this 3593-nucleotide long non-coding RNA. RefSeq lists it as uncharacterized. The record is from RefSeq and is a predicted model, not a curated record. Lineage: Eukaryota; Viridiplantae; Streptophyta; Magnoliopsida; Poales; Poaceae.
UCCAAAGUUUGGAGCUGUGUGCGCCGCGAGGGUGGCGGCCGUUGGGCGACCGCGGAGUAAUGUGGGGGCGGCUGGCUCACUCUGGCUCGUGGCUGGCUAGCUACUACUGGCGAGACCGCGAGACUGAAGCUUUGAGCUGGUCCCGUAUGAGCGGAGAGACCCACUGCAUUGAAGGCCUGCUCAGCACCUCGGCCGCAAUGGAGAUGUCAGGAAUGGUCGAACCAAUUACACUAUUUUGAGCUUAAGCCACAAUAGACCUUCCACGGCCCAUCUCAUCACACGGUAUAGCCUGUUAAGAUUAUUGCGGGCGAAUAAGUUCAUCUGAGGGCCCUUAACUUAUCAAGAAUCCGAUUUUGAUCCUUCAAUCGGAAAACAAUACGUAACGGGUCCCUCAACUAUCAAAACUAGUGCAAAAUAAGUUCCAAUGAUGGUUUGGACGGCGGUUUCAGCUGACGUGAUGUCUAUGUGGCUAAUUUGACUCGGUCUUCAUCUGACGUGGCAUUGACAUGGCGCUUACGUGGCAGUUUGGUUUGGCAAAUAAUAUAAUCGUGACCCUACAUGUUAGUGUCGAUGGGGAUACUCGUAGACCAGAUGAAUAGAGUAUUGGGGUACGUUGGUACAAGGAUUUAUACGAUAUGACAUCAAGCAAACAAGAAAACAAGGAUUAUACUAAUUCGGGCCUUCGUAAGGUAGAAGCCUUAAUCUAGUUUAUAUGAGAUAGAUAUGGAAAUACCACAUAUUACAAUAAAGAACCGACGAUCCUGAUAUUACCGGCGAGAUCCCUUGUCGAGAUGGUUUCGAUGAGAUCUCCCGGCAAGUAGGCUUCACGUCCUCCGGAUUGUAGGCUAUGGCGAUUGUGUUUGGCACUAUGAUUCAAUGAUCUGAACCCCUCUAAGUGGUGUGCCUUUUAUACCCUGAGUCAUCUUAGUCUCAAAGUAGAACUCGAAGACAACAGACCCUACACUAUAUAGUAUCAACCCAAUCCUCUUUGAGUAGGACUCUAACAUUCCUCUUCUUGUGAGGAUAAUUUCCAUAACAGCUUGUGAAUUUCCUUAUUGUAUACGGAAAUACAUCAUAUAUACAAAGGUAUGCCGUAUCCGCAUAUUCGAUAAGUCGUAGGAUUUGAGGAAUACUUUAUUUUUAACCAUGAUAGUUAGUUACACCCAAAAAAAAAUAAAAAUGGUGGGGCCCACGGGGGCUCCCUCUUUCCUCCUCUCCCCUCUCUUCAUCGGUGAUGGUGAGUCUACGACAUUCGACCGGUGCGUGAGGCCCUCGGCUUGCCCGAGUGAGUCGAACCCGCCGAUGAACGCUGCGGCUGGCGGGAAAGGAAUGGCGCGUAACGGCCAUCGGUGGCAGAGCGUCGGAGGAGGAUCACGUCGACGUCGGAUGCCGCGACGUCGGGGCUCCAGGUUAGGUCGACGAAGGGCAGCGACUCCCAGCAGCCCCACCAUGCACAUGAGAGCACCGAGGUGCGAACCACCUCGUAGAUGUGAAGGCGGUCGAUGAUGUUGUCGAGGACUUCGACGUGGAGCGCACCCAGCGCAUCCGGCGGCAACUCCGCCUUCACCGCCGCUAGCUGCCUCUUCUAGGUGGGCAGGGAGGCUACCAUUUCUUAGUGCUUUUCCCAAAUUCGCGUGCGUGCGUCCCCGUCUUACCCUGCGUGCUUUGCUUCCUCCCUUCCAGAAACCCUCUUCCGCCUCCAUCACCACGAAGCCUGCAAUCCAUGGAGGUCGACGGCGUAGCCCGCCCCUUCCUCCUCUUCUCCAAGCCCAAGUCCAGCAAGAAGAAACCCAAGCAAGAAGCUGAGCCCCAGCUAGAACCCCUAAACCCUAGCUCCGCGUCAUGGAGCCCGAACAUUGUGACUCCAACUAGGCCCUACUGUCGUGGCCACCACCGCCGCCGCGGAAUCCGCUAUGGUGCUGUCCACCUUCGUCGAACUUGGGCUAUCGCAAUGGCUAGUGGAUGUGUGCGAUUUACUAGGGGAUGCAUAGCCCCAUGGUCGUGCAGCGGCAGUGCAUCCCGCGGGUGCUUGAGGGGAGGGACGUGUUGGGGAUCGCGGAGACGGGGAGCGAGAAGACACUGCGUUCACGCUGCCCAUCUUGCACCGCCUUGGCGAGGACCCUUUUGGCGUCGCGCUGUCCUAUUGAACCAUGGCACCAGCAACUCUGACGUCCCAAAAAGGAUCAUUUAUGGGAUAAGUUUUUCUAGGAGUUUAUUUGUAAAAUUAGUUUUUGAAAAGGACCAAAUUGUAAAAAAUCCAAUGUGGUUGGUUGCAUGCGCCGGUGCAUUAGGGUUUUCCGCCUCUAGUCAAAUAGAUCCUCCAGCGUAAGCUUUUUUGGCAUCCAAUCUCAAGUUGUUCCUACUUCAAUUCUCUAUUCUCUUAAGGAACAAAUUGGUAUAAGUACGAUAAUGUAUGGAUAGGAAGGAGUGUAGCAGGCUAGCGGCAAUAUCUUUCUUAAUAUUUGACAAUUUUAGCUUUCUGAUUUAUGGCAUAUUCAGAUUGUAGCCAAAAUGAACCUUACAAGUUUUGGCAAUACCAAAAUUAUAGCAAGACGGCAAUAUUGCCAAAAUUUUGGCAGGAUUUCUUAUGUAUUGGUCAAAUUUGGCAACAAACUAAACGUAUAUAUUUUUUUUGCAACUUUGACAAAUAAUGGUAUGGUUGAAAAUGACAUCAAAGUGAACAUGCCCUUAAACUGUAUAGAUUUUCUCUCGUCCAUCGUUUUGUACCGCACGGUACCAGUACCAUGAGGUACCAGUCUUCAUCCGGCCGUUGAUUGCUGAGGGGUACGAUGGGGAUGGGAGUAUGCGCGAGGUUCGCUCCGGUGUGGGGUCCCAACGUUUCUAGCUACGUGCGGCUUCGUUUAGGUCAUCCCCAUCGCAUCUCACGAUACCGUCGCCCAUCGCAUCUCACGCUAGCGCCGCCGCACGGGUGUUCAUCUGAGGAGGAGGGCGAGCGCUUCUGUAACCGUCGCCGUACGGGUGGUGACAUCCUGGCAGCGCCGCGGCCGCAGGAGUCGUCGCCGCCGCCGCUGCAAGGUCCGCCGCCGCAGUGGCCGGCGGUGCAGCUGCAAGGGCCGGUGCCAUACGCUUCAAGGUUCGCCGCCGCCGUGGCCGGCGCAGCAGCUGCAAGGCCGGCGCCAUCCUCUGCGCCAUCCGCCGCAGUGGCCAGAGGUUGACCAAUGCGAUACUUUAAUCUGGGUAGACCAAGAUGGCAUCCAAGAGUGCAGAAGGCAUUCGAGAAGCUUUGGCUUGCAUUGGAUCGUACUAGCAUGACAAAUCCAACCAGGCGGCAAUAUGAAUGGUCUAACUAUAUUGAUAGAGCGAAAGUUGAGGAAGACAAAAUGAAACUUGAAUUUGAGAUGGCUGCCAGGAUUUUGGCUACCGAAGCAACAUAUAAGAAAAAAAUUUCAAAGCUCAAAAAAGAGGCAGACCACGCUAGAAGUUGGUUCAUGGGUUCCCUAGUUGUUAUUGUAAUUCUUAUGUACAAGAUUUCAGAGUAUAUGUAUCACUGUUGACUAUAUUAUGUCUGAGCUGUACUUUGCUACCUGCAAUUUAACAUAUCAAUUUUAACAAUGCUUUUCGGAUUUCUCACA